CAGAGUAGGACGGUGUGCGUCAAGUGCUGCGCGGACGGGGAGUUUGCCGCGCGGACGAAAAGGGGAACCCCCUUGCGGUACACGGUCCGCAUCCCGCUGU
RNAcentral lists this non-coding RNA (100 nucleotides) under human gut metagenome. RNAcentral describes it as "THF riboswitch". It matches the Rfam family "THF (Tetrahydrofolate) riboswitch aptamer". From Rfam's summary of the family: THF riboswitch presents a pseudoknot that joins P1-P2 and the loop of P3 and two THF binding. The record is from RNAcentral.